GAUCCUGCCGGAAGAAACUUAAAGGAAUUGGCGGGCUUCCGGUUGAUCCUGCCGGAAGAAACUUAAAGGAAUUGGCGGGAAACUUAAAGGAAUUGGCGGGGAAACUUAAAGGAAUUGGCGGGGAAACUUAAAGGAAUUGGCGGGUUUCCGGUUGAUCCUGCCGGAAGAAACUUAAAGGAAUUGGCGGGUUUCCGGUUGAUCCUGCCGGACCCGACUGCUAUCAGAGUGGGACUAAGCUAUGCGAGUCGACACAGCAAUGUGUGGCAUACGGCUCAGUAACACGUAGUCAACAUGCCCAGGGGACGUGGAUAACCUCGGGAAACUGAGGAUAAACCGCGAUAGGUCACUACUUCUGGAAUGGGUAAUGACCCAAACCUAUAUGGCCCCUGGAUUGGACUGCGGCCGAUCAGGCUGUUGGUGAGGUAAUGGCCCACCAAACCUGUAACCGGUACGGGCUCUGAGGGGAGGAGCCCGGAGAUGGGCACUGAGACAAGGGCCCAGGCCCUAUGGGGCGCAGCAGGCGCGAAACCUCUGCAAUAGGCGAAAGCUUGACAGGGUUACUCUGAGUGAUUUCCGUUAGGGAGAUCUUUUGGCACCUCUAAAAAUGGUGCAGUAUAAGGGGUGGGCAAGUCUGGUGUCAGCCGCCGCGGUAAUACCAGCACCCCGAGUGGUCGGGACGUUUAUUGGGCCUAAAGCAUCCGUAGCCGGUUCUACAAGUCUUCCGUUAAAUCCACCUGCUCAACAGAUGG
RNAcentral lists this ribosomal RNA (749 nucleotides) under uncultured archaeon. Its description in RNAcentral is "bacterial SSU rRNA". The stretch from base 189 to 749 matches the Rfam family "Archaeal small subunit ribosomal RNA", at positions 1 to 569 of the family's 1478-position model. The record is from RNAcentral.